This is an RNA transcript of Cebus imitator (Panamanian white-faced capuchin), 1560 nucleotides long. It is a transcript of the gene named keratin, type II cytoskeletal 8-like, with no coding region annotated. The record is from RefSeq and is a predicted model, not a curated record. The transcript has a single exon. Lineage: Eukaryota; Metazoa; Chordata; Mammalia; Primates; Cebidae.
CACCUUUCGGUCCAAGCAGCAGCUUCUCUGCUCCUUCUGGAAUCUCUCCCUGGUUCAGCUCGCCUGCUUCCACUCCUGCCUCCACCAUGUCCAUCAGGGUGACCCAGAAGUCCUACAGGGUGUCCACCACUGGCCCCGGGGCCUUCAGCAGCCGCUCCUUCACGAGUGGGCCCAGUGCCCGCUCGAGCUCCUCGAGCUUCUCCCGAGUGAGCAGCACUGGCUUCCGCGGUGGCCUGGGUGCAGGCUAUGCGGGGGCCAGCGGCAUAGGCCCGGGAGGCAUCACCGCCAUCACCAUCAACCAGAGCCUGCUGAACCCCAUUAAGCUGGACAUGGACCCCAACAUCCAGGCCGUGCGUACCCAGGAGAAGGAGCAGAUCAAGACCCUCAACAACAAGUUUGCUUCCUUCAUCGACAAGGUGCGGUUCCUGGAGCAGCAGAACAAGAUGCUGGAGACCAAGUGGAGCCUCCUGCAGCAGCUGAAAACGGCUCGGAGCAACAUGGACAACAUGUUUGAGAGCUACAUCAACAACCUGAGGCGGCAGCUGGAGACUCUGGGCCAGGAGAAGCUGAAGCUGGAGGCAGAGCUUGGCAACAUUCAGGGGCCGGUGGAGGACUUCAAGAACAAGUAUGAGGAAGAGAUCAAUAAGCGUACAGAGGUGGAGAAUGAAUUUGUCCUCAUCAAGAAGGAUGUGGAUGAAGCUUACAUGAACAAGGUAGAGCUGGAGUCUCGCCUGGAAGGACUGACUGACGAGAUCCACUUCCUCAGGCAGCUGUAUGAAGAGGAGAUCCGGGAGCUGCAGUCCCAGAUCUCCGACACCUCUGUGGUGCUGUCCAUGGACAACAACCACUCCUUGGACAUGGAUAGCAUCAUCGCUGAGGUCAAGGCGCAGUACGAGGAGAUCGCCAACCGCAGCCGGGCUGAGGCGGAGAGCUUAUACCAGAUCAAGUAUGAGGAGCUGCAGAAGCUGGCUGGGAAGCACGGGGAUGACCUGCGGCGUAUGAAGACUGAGAUCUCCGAGAUGAACCGGAACAUCAGCCGGCUCCAGGCCGAGAUUGAGGGCCUCAAAGGCCAGAGGGCUUCCCUGGAGGCCGCCAUUUUAGAUGCUGAGCAUCGCGGGGAGCAGGCACUCAAGGACGCUUGUGCCAAGCAGCAGCAGCAGCUGGAGGAAGCCCUGCAGAAGGCCAAGCAGGACAUGGCACGGCAGCUGCGUGACUACCAGGAGCUGAUGAACGUCAAACUGGCCCUGGACAUCGAGAUCGCCACCUACUGCAAGCUUACUAGAGGGCGAGGAGAGCUGGCUGGAGUGUGGGAUGCAGAACAUGAGUAUCCACACGAAGACCACAAGCGGCUAUGCAGGUGGUCUGAGCUCUGCCUAUGGGGGCCUCACAAGCCCCAGCCUCAGCUACAGCCUGGGCUCCAGCUUUGGCUCUGGCGUGGACUCCACCUUCAGCCGCACCAGCUCCACCAAGGCCGUGGUUGUGAAGAAGACUGAGACCCGCGAUGGGAGGCUGGUAUCUGAGUCCUCUGACGUCCUGCCCAAGUGAACAGCUGCAACAGCC